RNAcentral lists this ribosomal RNA (253 nucleotides) under uncultured bacterium. Its description in RNAcentral is "partial 16S ribosomal RNA". It matches the Rfam family "Bacterial small subunit ribosomal RNA", at positions 524 to 776 of the family's 1533-position model. The record is from RNAcentral.
UACGUAGGGUGCGAGCGUUGCCCGGAUUUAUCGGGCGUAAAGGGCGCGCAGGCGGCCACGCACGUCCGUUGUGAAAUCGCCCGGCUCAACUGGGCGGGGUCGGCGGAUACGGCGUGGCUGGAGCAAGCUAGGGGGUAGUGGAAUUCCCGGUGUAGUGGUGGAAUGCGUAGAGAUCGGGAGGAACACCGGUGGCGAAGGCGGCCGUCUGGACGGUGACUGACGCUGAGGCGCGAAAGCGUGGGGAGCAAACGGG